UCUCAGUUCAGAUUGCAGGCUGCAACCCGCCUGCAUGAAGUCGGAAUUGCUAGUAAUCGCGGAUCAGCAUGCCGCGGUGAAUACGUUUCCGGGCCUUGUACACACCGCCCGUCACACCAUGGGAGCCGGUAAUACCCGAAGUCAGUAGUCCAACCUCGUGAGGACGCUGCCGAAGGUAGGAUUGGCGACUGGGGUGAAGUCGUAACAAGGUAUC
RNAcentral lists this ribosomal RNA (214 nucleotides) under uncultured bacterium. Its description in RNAcentral is "partial 16S ribosomal RNA". It matches the Rfam family "Bacterial small subunit ribosomal RNA", at positions 1286 to 1500 of the family's 1533-position model. The record is from RNAcentral.